This 679-nucleotide ribosomal RNA is filed under the name Ramaria sp. TK-2014. RNAcentral's name for it is "eukaryotic LSU rRNA". The stretch from base 229 to 383 matches the Rfam family "5.8S ribosomal RNA". Lineage: Eukaryota; Fungi; Basidiomycota; Agaricomycetes; Gomphales; Gomphaceae. The record is from RNAcentral.
UUGGAUGCUGGCCCUGGCAAGGGCAUGUGCGCGCCUCCCUUUCUAAUCUCAUAUACACCUUGUGCACCUGUGGCGAGUGCCUCCUCCCAUUUGGAGCCGUCCGGCACGUAUCCCUCUUUCCUUGAAGAAAAGAGGGGGGGGCCGUCUGGGCCGAGGGGCAACUCCCUCCUUUCCAUUAAACCUGUUUAAACGCAUGUCUUGAAGCUCUACGGAGCGAAAGCAAUAAACAACUUUCAACAACGGAUCUCUUGGCUUUUGCAUCGAUGAAGAACGCCGCGAAAGUGCGAAACGUAAUGUGAAUUGCAGAAUUCAGUGAAUCAUCGAAUCUUUGAACGCAUCUUGCGCUCCUUGGUAUUCCGAGGAGCAUGCCUGUUUGAGUGCCAUAAACUACCUCAGCCCCUUGAUCAUCCCCCUUGGGGAGAAAGGGGUUUGGAUUUUGGACGCUUGCGGUGGGUUCUUUUCCUGCCGCUCGUCUUCAAAUGCAUUAGCUGGUCCCCUCUUUAGAGUCGGUUCGACGACGGUGUGAUAAUAGACACUUUGUUAACUGUGGCGCCGUUUGGGUCGACUUUGAAUCUUGGGUCGCUUACAAAGCCGUCUUUGGACAAAAAUGCCCAUUCGGCCUCAAAUCAGGUAGGACUACCCGCUGAACUUAAGCAUAUCAAUAAGCGGAGGAAAAGAA